RNAcentral lists this transfer RNA (95 nucleotides) under Rhizobium phage RHph_I1_18. Its description in RNAcentral is "tRNA-Ser". It matches the Rfam family "tRNA". From Rfam's summary of the family: Transfer RNA (tRNA) molecules are approximately 80 nucleotides in length. The record is from RNAcentral. Lineage: Duplodnaviria; Heunggongvirae; Uroviricota; Caudoviricetes.
GGAAAGGUGGUCGAGAGGCUUAUGACACCUGUUUGCUAAACAGGAGAACGUGCUAAUACCACGUUCCAGGGGUUCGAAUCCCCUCCUUUCCGCCA